GACUCUUUUUAUUUCUAUCUCAAUCUCUCUGUGUAUAAAUUUCUAUUUCUCUCCCUCUGCUUCUUCUUAUUCCUAGAAACGUUACUUUUCCUCCAUAUUCUCACCUUGCAACCUCUGGAGACUUCAAGAUGUUGUGUUCUCAUGUUUGCAUGUGUCUUCAUGUGUCAGAGGCUGAGAUGUCCCAAGGUCUGCAGUUGGUACCUGGAGGCUCACGAGAACCAAUGGUGUAAAUUUCAGUCUGAAAGCCAUGAGACUCAAGAUCCAAGAAGAGCUGAUGUUCCCAUUCAAGUUUGAAGGUCAGUGAUCAAUGGAGUCUCUGGUGGUUUUGUGUCCAUGAAAAAUGUCAAUGGCACAGCCUGCUGAAUCUUACAAGCUGGUGACAUUUCUCUGCAUUUGAAGUAUAUUUUCCACCUUUGUUUCUGUAACCUGUUCUAAAAAUGUUUCUCCAUCCUUCAGGAAAUACAAUAAUAAAUCUUGAAAUUUUC
This is a long non-coding RNA of Suricata suricatta (meerkat), 485 nucleotides long. RefSeq lists it as uncharacterized. The transcript has 3 exons. NCBI's taxonomy places the organism in Eukaryota, Metazoa, Chordata, Mammalia, Carnivora, Herpestidae. The record is from RefSeq and is a predicted model, not a curated record.